GCCUAAAGAGAAGCUUGCGGCUGAUUAGCUUGUUGGUGAGGUAAUAGCUCACCAAGGCGGCGAUCAGUAUCUGGUUUGAGAGGACGAUCAGACACACUGGAACUGAGACACGGUCCAGACUCCUACGGGAGGCAGCAGUAGGGAAUUUUCCGCAAUGGGCGAAAGCCUGACGGAGCAAUACCGCGUGAGGGAUGACGGCCUAUGGGUUGUAAACCUCUUUUUUCAGGGAGGAAUAAAUGACGUGUACCUGAAGAAUAAGCAUCGGCUAACUCCGUGCCAGCAGCCGCGGUAAGACGGAGGAUGCAAGUGUUAUCCGGAAUCACUGGGCGUAAAGCGUCUGUAGGUGGUCCAAUAAGUCAACUGUUAAAUCUUGAGGCUCAACCUCAAAACCGCAGUCGAAACUAUUAGACUAGAGUAUAGUAGGGGUAAAGGGAAUUUCCAGUGGAGCGGUGAAAUGCGUAGAUAUUG
Molecule: ribosomal RNA, 468 nt
Filed under: uncultured diatom
Lineage: Eukaryota; Bacillariophyta
Description: SSU rRNA
Rfam family: Bacterial small subunit ribosomal RNA
Source: RNAcentral